CCAAUGGGCGAAAGCCUGAUCCAGCCAUGCCGCGUGCAGGAUGAAGGCCUUCGGGUUGUAAACUGCUUUUGUACGGAACGAAACGGCUCUUUCUAAUAAAGAGGGCUAAUGACGGUACCGUAAGAAUAAGCACCGGCUAACUACGUGCCAGCAGCCGCGGUAAUACGUAGGGUGCAAGCGUUAAUCGGAAUUACUGGGCGUAAAGCGUGCGCAGGCGGUAAUGUAAGACAGUUGUGAAAUCCCCGGGCUCAACCUGGGAACUGCAUCUGUGACUGCAUUGCUGGAGUACGGCAGAGGGGGAUGGAAUUCCGCGUGUAGCAGUGAAAUGCGUAGAUAUGCGGAGGAACACCGAUGGCGAAGGCAAUCCCCUGGGCCUGUACUGACGCUCAUGCACGAAAGCGUGGGGAGCAAACAGGAUUAGAUACCCUGGUAGUCCACGCCCUAAACUAUGUCAACUGGUUGUCGGGGAAGCAAUUCCUUGGUAACGAAGCUAACGCGUGAAGUUGACCGCCUGGGGAGUACGGCCGCAAGGUUAAAACUCAAAGGAAUUG
RNAcentral lists this ribosomal RNA (551 nucleotides) under uncultured Variovorax sp. RNAcentral describes it as "bacterial SSU rRNA". It matches the Rfam family "Bacterial small subunit ribosomal RNA", at positions 368 to 912 of the family's 1533-position model. The record is from RNAcentral. Lineage: Bacteria; Pseudomonadati; Pseudomonadota; Betaproteobacteria; Burkholderiales; Comamonadaceae.